RNAcentral lists this long non-coding RNA (1681 nucleotides) under Macaca fascicularis (crab-eating macaque). Its description in RNAcentral is "lncRNA (ENSMFAG00000056787.1)". Lineage: Eukaryota; Metazoa; Chordata; Mammalia; Primates; Cercopithecidae. The record is from RNAcentral.
UUUUUUUUUUUUUUUUUGCCUGGUCUCCCCUGAGCCUUCAACAACCCUGUAAGCCAGGCCUCAUUACAUUCAUUCCCCCUGCGUGGCCCGAGAGGUGGUCACAUUGUGUCCGCUUGCAAUCACCCAGCUUAGGAUACCAGGCAGCAGAGACUCCACCCACGCUCCACCCUCAGAGCCUUGAACCCUAACAUUUGUGAUGUAUCAAGAUAAGGAUCAUUUACCUUGAUUAUCCUGAUCAAAUCCACACGAUUCAGAACAGCUCCUCUGGGAGAGGCUGGGAAAGAAACAGAGGCUUCUACUUAGUGGAGACACCGCUCUGGGUUCCUGACUCAGGUUCUUCCUCUGUCCAUUGGGGACAACAGGGACCACCUCAGUGGGGCACUGAGAGGGUUAAACGGGGUCACGUAGGGAAAGUGCCUGCCCUCUCCCCACCCCAGCAGGCAAUGGGUGCUCAGCUCAGUACAACCAGAGGCUGUAGCUGAGUUAGCCACCCAGAAUCCACAGUGCUCCAGGAGGCUGUGUGUGUGUGUGUGUGUGUGUGUGUGUGCACAGAUGUGUGAGUAGAGACCCAGACGUGUGCAGGAGCAGCUGGUUAACUGUACUCUGCAUGUCCGUGUAAAAAGUCACCAUCAGGAAGGGCGUAUGGAUGCCCACACUAGGUUCUCCUGGGAGUCAAAAGUGUCUUGUGUCUUGUGUCUGGUUCCUGUGUCUGUUGUCCCCUUAGAGCCCCUUACUCCCACCAAGGUGGUCUUGGAGAAGGGUGGCAGAGAAGGAUCAGUACUGUGGACCUGCAAUCCAUUUUACUUCUCUGUUUUGUUCUUCAUUCUCUUUCAUUAUGUCAUCUUGCCACAUUACAAUGUCUCCUCUACAAGGGCACGGAUUUUUGUUUUCUUCAUUUUUCUUCAGCACUUGGAACAGUGCCAGGCACACAGUGGGCAUUCAGUGAAUAUCUGUGGACAGAUGAAUUGUUGUCAUCAUAGUUUGUAGUUCUGUUUAUUUGUUUACCUGGUUAUUAGUGGGGCCAAUGUCUGCCAGGAAGUGUCUAAGGAAGCUGGAGAGGACUGGAGAUGUCACCUGCUUCCUGUCCCCCAGCCCUUUCCCCAGGUGCCUCUCAGUUCACCUCUGCAUUAACUCAGCUGAGGGGCACAAAGGGCUAAGGCGAGUGCCAGACAUACAGGACACAGCCUCCAAGUGCUGCCUGUUAUUAUUACUGAGUCUGGGCACCCUACUCAGUGUCCUUGUGGCCAAGAAAAGGAUGGGCCUCCCACCCCACCUUCUCCUUCUCUCCCCAGCUGCUGCCACAGGCACCAUCCCUCAAUUCCGUGCACAGCACUCCCCUUUUCCCACUUCUGAGACUCACGGUGUCUACACCUGAUUGUCCCUCAGAACUCAGCUUCAAUGGCACCACCUCAAGGAGACCCUCAGGGCCCUGGCUGUGGAAGGUCCUCCCGAUUAUCUCUCUUAUGCCCCGUUCUCUUCUUUAACUGGUCUCCUGCUUCUGCCUUUGCAAUUCCCAACCCCACUUAUGUGCCCUGCUGCAUAAUGUGAGGGCCGGGAGCAUAACAAAGGCUUGACUUAUCCAUGAUCACAUCAAACUGAGGCCUGAGACAGAACAUUCUGUGAGGUCGCCUUGCUCACUGCAGAGGAGCUGACUCACACAGUUCUGUCCCUCACCCUUCUG